This 856-nucleotide long non-coding RNA is filed under the name Homo sapiens (human). RNAcentral's name for it is "HSALNT0074663". Lineage: Eukaryota; Metazoa; Chordata; Mammalia; Primates; Hominidae. The record is from RNAcentral.
GAAAAGUACACUUGGAGUUCAUAAUUCUCCAAAAGAGAAGCUACAAAGCAGCAACAUGCCACACGUAGCUGCUGUUAAGGACUGAAUUGUGCCCCCUCAAAAUUCAUUCGUUGAAGCCCUAACCCCUAAUGUAAUUAUAUUUGAAGAUAAGGCCUUUAAGGAGGUAAUUAAGACUAAAUGAGGGGCGGUUGCGGUAACUCACCCAUUUAAAAAAACAAAAACAAACAAACAAACAAAACAGAGUCUCACUACAUUGCCCAGGCUGGUCUUAAACUCCUGGCCUCAAGUGAUCCUCCUGCCUCGGCCUCCCAAAGUGUCGGAAUUACAGUCAUGAGCCACUGUGCCCAGCCGAUUGUCUCUUUUUAUUCUUAUAAUAUCCCAUUUGGAGAAACUGAGACUCAAAAAUGUUAAGGAACCUAUUGCCCAUACAUCAUUUAGCUAGUAAAUCCAAAACUGGGAUCAAACCCUCUUUUAGUCUGGACCCAAAGCUUGGUCCUUGAAUCACUACAAGUUCCUGUGUUCUUACUGUAAGUAGCUGCACCUUCUGCCUCCCUGGAAUUAAUAGGUCUCCUGAUAGUCAAUGCCUGCCUAUAUAUCCAUGAGCCAACUGCUCUGCCUGCUCUCAAAAUGGUAUUUAGAAAGCAAUAUUUCGGUAUGGUUUUGCUAUUGCUAUUGAGAUGUCAAUACUCCCAGGUCCUUUCAGGGGAUUGAACUAACCAAUGCAUGUGUUUGUGCAUGUAUACACACACACAUGAGCAUAUAGAUAUGUAUAUGAGUGUAUACAUAUAAAUGUGUAUGAAUAUGGACAUGAAAACAUAUAUGUAAAUGUGUGUACACAUGUUUACAUUUAUAUCUA